This 75-nucleotide microRNA precursor is filed under the name Branchiostoma belcheri (Belcher's lancelet). Its description in RNAcentral is "mir-193 microRNA precursor family". Lineage: Eukaryota; Metazoa; Chordata; Leptocardii; Amphioxiformes; Branchiostomatidae. The record is from Rfam by way of RNAcentral.
CAUGUGAACAGCGGCUUGCAGGGUCAGUCGGUAGAAAGAGAUGUCCUACUGGCCUGCCAAGUCGGUGCUUACAUG